UUCAAGGGUUCCUCAGCUGAUCUCUGUGUUCCCUUCCUAAGCAUAAUUCCCUUUUUUGCCAGUUAAUUCCUUAAGGAUUCCACACAGUGGAUGAACCAUAGAACCAUAAAAUGGUGGGACUGUAAAGUUCCUACAGUUCCAAUUUCUCGUCCAUGGGGAGGGGCACCUUCCACUGGACCAGGCUGCUCAGAGCUCCCUUCCACCUGGCCAUGAAACACUUCAGGGAUGGGGCAUGUGAUGGGCAUAUAGACAUUUAUUCAAGUCCCCCACAUGAAUAUGGGCAAAUUGGACACCAAAAUUAUAAGUUGUUAAAACGGAAUAUUUGAACUGGGCAUUAUUGUGGUUUUGUGCCAUCAUUUCUAUACAUUUGUCAAAUCUAUUCUAUGAUAAGAUUAUUUUUUACCUCUGCUAACAUCAUUUAAUGACAUUUCACACAGGCUCACCACACUGUGUGGCACAAACUGCUGGAAAGAUCAAAAAGGCUGGUCACUGAAGAAGAUUAUUUGGAAACAGCAACACAAUGUCUUGAGGCAAAAGAUGGAACUGAAGAAGCAAAACCUGUAUCAAUUUAAAUUAAGUUGAACCCCUAAAUGUACAUAAUAAAAUGUGUAUUUUUACAUGA
This is a long non-coding RNA of Pyrgilauda ruficollis (rufous-necked snowfinch), 622 nucleotides long. RefSeq lists it as uncharacterized. The record is from RefSeq and is a predicted model, not a curated record. Lineage: Eukaryota; Metazoa; Chordata; Aves; Passeriformes; Passeridae. The transcript is spliced from 2 exons.